RNAcentral lists this ribosomal RNA (395 nucleotides) under uncultured bacterium. Its description in RNAcentral is "bacterial SSU rRNA". It matches the Rfam family "Bacterial small subunit ribosomal RNA", at positions 29 to 424 of the family's 1533-position model. The record is from RNAcentral.
AUUGAACGCUGGCGGCGUGCUUAACACAUGCAAGUCGUGCGGUAACAGGCGUAGCAAUACGUGCUGACGAGCGGCGAACGGGUGCGUAAUACAUGGGAAUCUGCCCUUUAGUGGGGAAUAACCCGGCGAAAGCCGGGCUAAUGCCGCAUAAGAUCUUCGGAUGAAAGCGGGGGAUCGUAAGACCUCGCGCUGAUGGAUGAGCCCAUGUCGGAUUAGCUAGNGGUGAGGUAACGGCUCACCAAGGCGACGAUCCGUAGCUGGUCUGAGAGGACGGCCAGCCACACUGGGACUGAGACACGGCCCAGACUCCUACGGGAGGCAGCAGUGGGGAAUAUUGGACAAUGGGCGAAAGCCUGAUCCAGCGACGCCGCGUGUGUGAAGAAGGCCUGCGGGUU